This 497-nucleotide ribosomal RNA is filed under the name uncultured bacterium. RNAcentral's name for it is "partial 16S ribosomal RNA". It matches the Rfam family "Bacterial small subunit ribosomal RNA", at positions 28 to 507 of the family's 1533-position model. The record is from RNAcentral.
GAUGAACGCUGGCGGCGUGCCUAAUACAUGCAAGUCGAGCGAACAGACGAGAAGCUUGCUUCUCUGAUGUUAGCGGCGGACGGGUGAGUAACACGUGGAUAACCUACCUAUAAGACUGGGAUAACUUCGGGAAACCGGAUCUAAUACCGGAUGAUAUUUUGAACCGCAUGGUUCAAUAGUGAAAGACGGUCUUGCUAUCACUUAUAGAUGGAUCCGCGCUGCAUUAGCUAGUUGGUAAGGUAACGGCUUACCAAGGCAACGAUGCAUAGCCGACCUGAGAGGGUGAUCGGCCACACUGGAACUGAGACACGGUCCAGACUCCUACGGGAGGCAGCAGUAGGGAAUCUUCCGCAAUGGGCGAAAGCCUGACGGAGCAACGCCGCGUGAGUGAUGAAGGUCUCCGGAUCGUAAAACUCUGUUAUUAGGGAAGAACAUAUGUGUAAGUAACUGUGCACAUCUUGACGGUACCUAAUCAGAAAGCCACGGCUAACUACGUG